UUCCGGUUGAUCCUGCCGGACCUGACUGCUAUCGGAUUGAUACUAAGCCAUGCGAGUCAUUGUAGCAAUACAAGGCAUACGGCUCAGUAACGCGUAGUCAACCUAACCUAUGGACGGGAAUAACCUCGGGAAACUGAGAAUAAUGCCCGAUAGAACAUUAUACCUGGAAUGGUUUAUGUUCCAAAUGAUUUAUCGCCGUAGGAUGGGACUGCGGCCUAUCAGUUUGUUGGUGAGGUAAUGGCCCACCAAGACUAUUACAGGUACGGGCUCUGAGAGGAGUAGCCCGGAGAUGGGUACUGAGACACGGACCCAGGCCCUAUGGGGCGCAGCAGGCGAGAAAACUUUGCAAUGUGCGAAAGCACGACAAGGUUAAUCCGAGUGAUUUCUGCUAAAGAAAUCUUUUGUUAGUCCUAGAAACACUAACGAAUAAGGGGUGGGCAAGUUCUGGUGUCAGCCGCCGCGGUAAAACCAGCACCUCAAGUGGUCAGGAUGAUUAUUGGGCCUAAAGCAUCCGUAGCCGGCUCUGUAAGUUUUCGGUUAAAUCUGUACGCUUAACGUACAGGCCGCCGGGAAUACUGCAAAGCUAGGGAGUGGGAGAAGUAGACGGUACUCGGUAGGAAGUGGUAAAAUGCUUUGAUCUAUCGAUGACCACCUGUGGCGAAGGCGGUCUACUAGAACACGUCCGACGGUGAGGGAUGAAAGCUGGGGGAGCAAACCGGAUUAGAUACCCGGGUAGUCCCAGCUGUAAACUAUGCAAACUCAGUGAUGCAUUGGCUUGUGGCCAAUGCAGUGCUGCAGGGAAGCCGUUAAGUUUGCCGCCUGGGAAGUACGUACGCAAGUAUGAAACUUAAAGGAAUUGGCGGGGGAGCACCACAAGGGGUGAAGCCUGC
This 890-nucleotide ribosomal RNA is filed under the name uncultured archaeon. Its description in RNAcentral is "bacterial SSU rRNA". It matches the Rfam family "Archaeal small subunit ribosomal RNA", at positions 1 to 898 of the family's 1478-position model. The record is from RNAcentral.